UGUGGGAGCGAGCUUGCUCGCGAAGGCGUCGUGUCAGCCAACUUCUAAAUCACUGACCCACCGCUUUCGCGAGCAAGCUCGCUCCCACA
Molecule: non-coding RNA, 89 nt
Filed under: Pseudomonas sp. ok266
Lineage: Bacteria; Pseudomonadati; Pseudomonadota; Gammaproteobacteria; Pseudomonadales; Pseudomonadaceae
Also listed under: 1 other name
Source: RNAcentral